CCAUGAGUCACCAGCAGAGUUGGAGGGACAUUCUGUGGUUAAAGCUCUUGCUGUGCAAGUGAGAGGACCAGAGUUCAGAUUCCCAGGCCCAGGUACGUCCCAUCCUGGGGAAGUAUGUAAGGAUGUCUGCCCUGUCCCCUUGAAACACAACAGAGGCACAGAGAGGACAAGGAGCCAGCCUGAGGACACCCAGUCCCUUCACAUUGGAAAACCUCAGCCCAGAGGCACAGAAGGCUGCCUGCCUCAGUCUCCCCGUUCCUGGAGCAUGAGAACAGGGCAGCCAGAGAGACGGGAGAGGAACAGACAGUCCUUGGGAGGAAGCAACACUUGUGAGCUGCAGAUUCAGGACCAGAAGGACAAUACUUGUCCACCACAGGAAGAGAAGAGCCCCAUGAGCACAAAGAGCCAAUCUGUUGGGGUCUCCAUCCCUCAAUCCCAUCAUUCCUACUGAUCCCCGCUAUGCUGUCCUUUCCAAGCCCAGGGCUCAGCUGGGUGAGCCAGUGGGUCUUCCUGAGGAUGGGGUGGGAGUUUCUAUGUAUUUCCCUGGGGCCUGAGUAGGACCAUGGACCUGGGGAUCCCUCUAAAAGUAAUAAUCAGCCCGGCAUGGUGGGCCAUGCCUCCGGUCCCAGCAGUAGAAAAGCGUAUGAGUUCUAACAAAUUUCAUAUGAACCAAGGCUACAUGAAACCCGGUGUCACAAAAACAAAAUUAUGGGCUGGCAAGAUGGCUUAGGGGGUAAAGGAGCUUGCUAUUCCAGCUGGACGGCCUGAGUUUCCUCUCUAGAACCCACAUAAAGGUGGAAGGAGAGAACAGCUCCACAAAGUUGUCCUCUGACCUCCACGUGCACGCCAUGGCAUGCACCACCCCGCAACAUAAACAAAUGCUCUAAAAAACAUACAAAAAUGCUGGGUGGUAGUGGUGCACGCCUUUAAUUCCAGCACUCAGGAGGCAGACAGGUGAAUUCAAGGCCGGCCUGGUCUACAGAGUGAAUUCCAGGACACCAGGGAUACAGUGAAACCCUGUCUCUAAAACUAACAAACAAAAAUAAAUAAAAAUUUAAAAAUUA
Peromyscus eremicus (cactus mouse) is the source of this 1064-nucleotide long non-coding RNA. RefSeq lists it as uncharacterized. The record is from RefSeq and is a predicted model, not a curated record. NCBI's taxonomy places the organism in Eukaryota, Metazoa, Chordata, Mammalia, Rodentia, Cricetidae. The transcript has 2 exons.